Molecule: long non-coding RNA, 765 nt
Organism: Portunus trituberculatus (swimming crab)
Lineage: Eukaryota; Metazoa; Arthropoda; Malacostraca; Decapoda; Portunidae
Exons: 2
Source: RefSeq, a predicted model, not a curated record
CGUGACUGACAAAGAUCCGCCGAGGGGUUGUAUAAAUAGAGGAGCUUCGCCUGUGCCACGCAGAGCGGUCUUCACCGCCUUGAUCUCCGGCUGCUCGAGGAUUACUUUCGCCGAAACAAAAUGAAGUUUACACACUACUUGGCUGUGAUUGUUCUGGUGGUGCUGGUUGUGGGAAUGACAGUUGCCGACCCCACACCUGAGGCUUUAGCUAAUCCUGAGCCUUCAAAGAAACUUAAAUUAAAGAAAUUAAAGAAAGUUGGUGCUUUACUGAAGCUCCACUUCUUCAAAGGGCGUGGAAGGGGACGCCAGCGUGCAAGGGGACACCAGCGUCAGCGUGGUCAUGGCGACUGGUGAAGGGCAAGCAAGGAUGGCGAGGACUUGCAACAUAACGACAGACAAGUGGCCAAAGAACUCUGCACUUCUGAACGCUCUCCCAUACUAUCUCCCCUUCAGCGCCCGUUGUCCCUCCCGUCCGACCAUGACGCUACGAAUAAAUUAACCUUGCACUGAGCACUUAUGAGCCUAUUGGGUUCACAUAACGAGUUCUGUGAAAGGGACUGGUCGUGUACACCAGGUGGAAGCAUGCCACGCGGAACCUAUGAAUAAAUCUAAGUGCCUUCUUGUUUCCAUGUCCUUCAGCCAUUCGCAUCUCAUUUGUGAUGUUUAUAUAGCAUAGGGUCCAUUACAGCUUAAUACUUCAUACUACUCUUUAUAGCGAGUAGUACAUUUAACAGUGUUAUGGUAUAAACAUCAGAGCAAAUAAAA